This 497-nucleotide ribosomal RNA is filed under the name uncultured bacterium. RNAcentral describes it as "partial 16S ribosomal RNA". It matches the Rfam family "Bacterial small subunit ribosomal RNA", at positions 28 to 507 of the family's 1533-position model. The record is from RNAcentral.
GAUGAACGCUGGCGGCGUGCCUAAUACAUGCAAGUCGAGCGAACAGACGAGGAGCUUGCUCCUCUGGCGUUAGCGGCGGACGGGUGAGUAACACGUGGAUAACCUACCUAUAAGACUGGGAUAACUUCGGGAAACCGGAGCUAAUACCGGAUAAUAUAUUGAACCGCAUGGUUCAAUAGUGAAAGACGGUUUUGCUGUCACUUAUAGAUGGAUCCGCGCCGCAUUAGCUAGUUGGUAAGGUAACGGCUUACCAAGGCGACGAUGCGUAGCCGACCUGAGAGGGUGAUCGGCCACACUGGAACUGAGACACGGUCCAGACUCCUACGGGAGGCAGCAGUAGGGAAUCUUCCGCAAUGGGCGAAAGCCUGACGGAGCAACGCCGCGUGAGUGAUGAAGGUCUUCGGAUCGUAAAACUCUGUUAUUAGGGAAGAACAAAUGUGUAAGUAACUACGCACGUCUUGACGGUACCUAAUCAGAAAGCCACGGCUAACUACGUG